RNAcentral lists this ribosomal RNA (490 nucleotides) under uncultured bacterium. RNAcentral describes it as "partial 16S ribosomal RNA". It matches the Rfam family "Bacterial small subunit ribosomal RNA", at positions 30 to 507 of the family's 1533-position model. The record is from RNAcentral.
AUUGAACGCUGGCGGCAGGCCUAACACAUGCCAGUCGAACGGUAACAGGAAACAGCUUGCUGUUUCGCUGACGAGUGGCGGACGGGUGAGUAAUGUCUGGGAAACUGCCUGAUGGAGGGGGAUAACUACUGGAAACGGUAGCUAAUACCGCAUAACGUCGCAAGACCAAAGAGGGGGACCUUCGGGCCUCUUGCCAUCGGAUGUGCCCAGAUGGGAUUAGCUAGUAGGUGGGGUAACGGCUCACCUAGGCGACGAUCCCUAGCUGGUCUGAGAGGAUGACCAGCCACACUGGAGCUGAGACACGGUCCAGACUCCUACGGGAGGCAGCAGUGGGGAAUAUUGCACAAUGGGCGCAAGCCUGAUGCAGCCAUGCCGCGUGUAUGAAGAAGGCCUUCGGGUUGUAAAGUACUUUCAGCGGGGAGGAAGGGAGUAAAGUUAAUACCUUUACUCAUUGACGUUACCCGCAGAAGAAGCACCGGCUAACUCCGUG